Molecule: ribosomal RNA, 462 nt
Filed under: uncultured bacterium
Lineage: Bacteria
Description: bacterial SSU rRNA
Rfam family: Bacterial small subunit ribosomal RNA
Source: RNAcentral
GGGCCCGCACAAGCAGUGGAUUAUGUGGUUUAAUUCGACGCAACGCGAAGAACCUUACCGGGGUUUGACAUCCUGCUAACGAAGCAGAGAUGCAUUAGGUGCCCUUCGGGGAAAGCAGAGACAGGUGGUGCAUGGUUGUCGUCAGCUCGUGUCGUGAGAUGUUGGGUUAAGUCCCGCAACGAGCGCAACCCUUAUGGUUAGUUGCUACGCAAGAGCACUCUAGCCAGACUGCCGUUGACAAAACGGAGGAAGGUGGGGACGACGUCAAAUCAUCAUGCCCCUUAUAUCCCGGGCUACACACGUAAUACAAUGGCGGUCAACAAAGCGAUGCGAAACCGUGAGGCAGAGCGAAUCGCAAAAAGCCGUCUCAGUUCGGAUUGCAGGCUGCAACUCGCCUGCAUGAAGUUGGAAUUGCUAGUAAUCGCGGAUCAGCAUGCCGCGGUGAAUACGUUCCCGGGCCUU